This 440-nucleotide ribosomal RNA is filed under the name uncultured bacterium. Its description in RNAcentral is "partial 16S ribosomal RNA". It matches the Rfam family "Bacterial small subunit ribosomal RNA", at positions 338 to 795 of the family's 1533-position model. The record is from RNAcentral.
CCUACGGGUGGCAGCAGUGGGGAAUAUUGCACAAUGGGGGAAACCCUGAUGCAGCGACGCCGCGUGAGUGAAGAAGUAAUUCGUUAUGUAAAGCUCUAUCAGCAGGGAAGAAAGUGACGGUACCUGAGUAAGAAGCCCCGGCUAACUACGUGCCAGCAGCCGCGGGAAUACGGAGGGGGCAAGCGUUAUCCGGAUUUCCUGGGUGUAAAGGGAGCGUAGACGGCAGUGCAAGUCUGGCGUGAAAGGCGGGGGCGCAACCCCCGGACUGCUCUGGAAACUGUACGGCUGGAGUGCAGGAGAGGUAAGUGGAAUUCCUAGUGUAGCGGUGAAAUGCGUAGAUAUUAGGAGGAACACCAGUGGCGAAGGCGGCUUACUGGACUGUAACUGACGUUGAGGCUCGAAAGCGUGGGGAGCAAACAGGAUUAGAUACCCGGGUAGUC